GUUUAAUUUUUUCUUUUCGAUACACCAUUGUAUUGUGGUGUUUCAGAAGGUAUCUAUUGAGAAAGAAUCUCAUUCUCCUCAAGAUAUGUCAAAAAUUCAUCAUAAAGAUAUUCACCUCCUCAAUCUAAUCAAAGAAUUUUCAUAUUCUUUUCAGUUAUUUCUCUAUCACAUUACGGAGUUGUUUGAACAUUUCAAAUGAUUCAGACUUGU
Molecule: long non-coding RNA, 210 nt
Filed under: Elaeis guineensis (African oil palm)
Lineage: Eukaryota; Viridiplantae; Streptophyta; Magnoliopsida; Arecales; Arecaceae
Description: long non-coding RNA (EGUI_LNC064274)
Source: RNAcentral